Molecule: long non-coding RNA, 6093 nt
Organism: Acinonyx jubatus (cheetah)
Lineage: Eukaryota; Metazoa; Chordata; Mammalia; Carnivora; Felidae
Exons: 3
Source: RefSeq, a predicted model, not a curated record
AUCACUUUUAGCCCCAUCACAGAAACAAACGAACACAGCAUAGUAACAUAUUCACAUCUGAGAACAGGAAACUGAGGAAUGGAGCCCUCUCCGGUCUCUCUCAAGUAUGUGUAGAUUCUUAUUGUGAUGUCAACCCUGGCCAUCACGUGUGGUGACUCUGCUUUAUGGCAUUUAUAUUAGUGUCCCUGCUAAAUAUCAGGACUGGCCCACCAAACCUGGCUGUGGGCCCUUUUCAGUGCAAACCAAAGCUCAACAUCUUCCUAAGUCCAUUUUGAAUGCAUGAGAUUUGUUGGGCAGCUGAAAAUUGCUGUAGCAAUGAAGCACAAGAUGUGCCACCCAGGACAACCACAUCCAUAAAGAAAGGAGACCUCUUCUGGUUGCACAUCAGGAUGCAACCUCUUCUUGUACCAGAGGAAGCCAUCCAAACAUGGUUGAUGCCCUGUCCAAAGGAAGGCAACUCCAAGGAUGGCAAGGAUUCAGACGAAAGGAGCAAUGUGCUGCCUGUAAUUCAUCUCCUCCUCCGUGUCUUGCACAAACUCUCUUCUGCCAUCCAUAAACAACGCUUUGGAGCCCUCCCCAUUCAAUCCUUUUAUAAUCCCCAUGUUGAUAUACCUGGCUUCAUGCAGGCAGUGAUGACUUGCAUAUGUAGCUUGUAUGCAACCUCUCUGCAGAACCCCUCAGUCCCUUUCUUAGUGUCCCUCUGGACACUUAGUGUCAGCAUGUUACUGCAGCACGAAGUCUGGAGAAAAUGUCCCAAAUGGCCCAGAAGGGAGGGGGUGAAGGAGUCAGCAGGGCUGAGCCCAACUUGUUGGACCUGUCUCAGGAAGUGGGGAUCUACCUGGGUUCCGUCACUGUGUGUUUCCUGCCUGAAUGAAUCUUUUCAUGCUAGCUUCAGUUCUUCCCUCCAUCUCUCAAGAAGCACUCCUUUGCUCAACUUACGAUUAAAAGCAGGGUAAGCAGGUGCUGUCACCAGAGGAGCAAAUGCAAAUGUGGUGAAUUUGUCAUGAAAAGGGUAAGGAAACCUGGGCACACAUUCUCCAUCUCUGCAUAGCUUACAUGGCAAUUCAGGAAACCCAGCCAAAACCUGGGAUGCUGCCAGGGCUUGUGACCACAAAGAGGAGACAAGAUUAAUGCCAUAAUCCCUGUAGACCCUGAAGGAUAUCCUGAGCACAUUCCCCGAGGAACCUCAAUCUAAUCUAUACAAGGCCAUGAAAUCCUGGGCUAUCAUUCCACCAGCAGCUGCUGAACUUCGAAGGAGUGCUGUGGUUGCCAGUAAGGGACCUGGGGGGGGGGGCAGGAAUCCAGGAGACAUAUGCACUGUAUUCUAGGAAAAGAGAGUCCCAGGAGUUGUUCAUCAUCUCACUCUGCAGGACCCAGCCCUGUCCUGCUAUCCUACUCAAGUGAUCCAAGAGCUUCCCCUGGACAUCACUAGUGGGGAUGAGACAUUGGGCAUUUUUUGAUCAUCCCCUUCAAACAUCCAGGAGUUGAGGGAACAUGACAGAGUCCCUGAAGCUCAUGUGAGGAGGACCCCUCAACUCGCCUAGCUGUGCAUCACUGGGAGCACUGAGUAGAUGCAGUCUCAAUGGGGAGGGGGCUUGUAGGAUCCCUACCUGAUUGGGAGACUGCAAUGUCCUCGGGUCCCCUAAACCUCCAGUAAUGCUGUGGGAGAUACGGGGUCACCUCAGAGUACCACUUCCAAGUAUGAGUUUCAGGAUCUGUAGAUGCUGCCUCAUCUGUAGUCAAGUCGAUCAGGGAAGUCCACAGUGUCUGUUCCCCACACAGUCACAUCAGUGUGUAAAGUCACAUCCAUGUGAGAUAGGAGCAAAUAUCACCACCGCGUGUCCCACAACACUCACAUGUGCCAGGGUCCUUGACAGAGCAGGGGAUGUUGACAGCCUUCAAAUAGAGUAUGAAUAGGACAUCAAGCAGUGGAAGGACUCAGCAGUCAAAAAAUUAGGGCAAUCAGGGAAGGGGCCCGAAGACCCUGGGAUGUAGCCUUCAUUCAGCCCAGGGCCCAAACGUGGAAGGUUCUCUUCCUUCAUGCCAGCCAUGGAUUCUAUAGGGAAACUUCCACUCCAAGACCUCAAAAGGCAUGUUCCAAAAUAAACCCUAGACCAGUUGUCAGAUCUGCCCGAAACAGCAUGCCACACAAGCUCAUACAGCUCCACCUAAUGUUUUCUGCAGCUGCAAAAGAAAAUAGCUGGACCAUGUCCACGAUGCUCCAGAUGCCACAGAUUUCAGAGAAAGUGAACCAGGAGUGUCCUCGGUCCCCAGCCAACAGCUUUGAAGGUGGCCUAGAAGAACCAGAUGAAGACAAUACCUAAAUAAAAUUGGAAAAGAAACAAUGCUGGAGGAACUCCUCUCCUGCACCCGAAUCUUCUGGGCCAUACAAAUAGAAGAUGUUUGGGGUUGCAAUGAGCAGAGAAGACUGUGACUCCUGGGGACAAGGGGACCCAGCAAGAUGGCCACCACACCCUGGUUGGUUUUCCAGGCACCGCUGACGACUGACACUAUGAGGAGGAAGCAGCACUCCAGACCAUCAAUAGUGCCCUGUGGGGUGAGUGUGUGCCCAUCUGGAAGCAUGGGGCUGAGCAGCUUUCCAGGGUUUCCCCUUGCCUGCUGCAGGGCUGCUCCUGCUCCUGCUGUCUCUCCAGUCCCCAGCGGGAAUGUGCAGAAGGAGAGAUGCAGGAAAAUGCAAGUCUGCCAUGGUCAAUGGCCACCCUGGAAUGUGCUUUAGGGGCAACCUGGCUGUAUCCUUUGUGUCAAAGGACACCUGACUCAACUGGACCCCUCUCCUCCCUGAUAUAUCUGCUUCCAGACAUCUUUUCACACUCACUGUCCUCAGCCCCUUACACCCAGAUGGCCCCUGCUGACUUCCAGAUACAAAGCCAAGCCAGCAAGUCUUGGGCAGCACCACACAGGUAACUUUUGUUGAUUCAUCACCUAUUACUUCUCCCUUGGGCACAGGCACCAGCACCCAGCCAGGCUUUGCUGCCACCCAGCUAGAUGUCCCUGUGGCACAACCCCUGGAUCACUCCUAUUGCCUCCAUGCAGAAGACUGUGACCAGUGCUGGGCUGAACAUUGCCAGCAGCACCACAAAACAGGCCCACUUCAGUCUGGGGGUUUCGGAAGCACCAAUAGGUUUAGGGAGGAGAGGCUGCCCCACAUCUGAAUUCUAACUGUGGAGCACUCAUCACCAGAACAUUACCACGCGUGGCCCCAAGUAUCACACUGCAAUUUGGGACCUGAACACUUAGGACCCCCUCGCCAGAGACUCCAGUGGCAACCACGAGACCCAACAUUAAGGAAAACCAAGAAUUUGGAGACAUUACCCAACGCUCACAUUCCCAGUGCCUUGUUCACCAGAGUCCCCAGACAUAAAGCUGGGGGCCCAGCACCACUGUCUGGAAGACUCUCUUUAGAGCUGUUUGUCCAGCGUCUACUCUUAGCAUCCCUGCCCCAGUGGUAACCACAGUGAGGAGGGCCUUACCAAGAGUACCCAUCAUUACCUGUCCAGGGCUUGCUUAGACACAAAAUGCUGAGUUAUGCACCAUGACCUUUCUCUCCAGGGAAGCACCCACUUCCUUGGGUCUAAGAGUAGAAUGCUGGCCUUGAGAACCACUGUCCUUAGAAUUUUCCAAUGUCCACCUUCCUCCCAGGCUGGACCACAGGUGAACCUUGUUUCCAUUUGAAAUGCGUCUCUACCACUGACCUCUGUGGCCCUGGAUCAAACUAGAGGCCCACAGCACAGCAUGCUUGAAAGUGGGUGGUUUGAGGCUGCUGUUCAAUUUUUGUCGUUGGAGCCCUCAGCAUAGUAGACAGAGAACCAGGUUCCCUUUUCUCACAGUCCUGGAUCUGGAACUCUCCCGCGGCCUAUAUUGCACUCCUGCCCUCUGCCUGUGUUCUUCCCAGGACCCUCGUAACUUCUCCAUAUUUGUCAUAAAGCCUGCCUCUUGUUCAUCUGCAGAAUUCUCCUGUGAGUGUGCUCUGUAGAUCAAGUGUGGAAAAUCAUGAGGAGCAACAUGAGAGAAAGACCUGAUUCAAAUCUCCUGAGACUCAACUAAUGGAUUAGAGAAAGUAGCAAUCCUUGAUGGUUAGGAUGGACACCUGAGUUUUAAAAGUGUGGUUGGAGUUUAAGGAUAACACUUGGAAUAUACCAAAAGCGCAAAGGAGGAAUAAACAAGGACAGUCAUCCAUGCUUGUUGAAAUUGCUACCACUAAAACACCACUCUGACGAAUCUCUUCUACCAUUACUAGUUGUCACCAGGAGUCCACACUAAAUUACUCAAGAGUCCAAGACUAAAAGCCUCCUCUAUGUAACACUUUCAUUUUUUAAACAUUGUUGCUUGAAAGUCCUAGGCAUAGCACCUAUGUACACCUUUAUCUACAUACUGUGGGCCUGGUGGGAAGCAUUCUUGCCAGGGAAAAGAAGGAAAACUUUGAUUCUAGCCUGCCACAUAUGCCCAUGCGAUUUGUGACAUCCUGAUUUGAAUAUCAGGACUCUCUCUGUUCCUCUCUUCCUUUCUGCAACUUUAGGGAUGAAAGGGAGCCAUUCGAGCAGGAACCAAACUAAAAUUAGUCAGGUUUUUAAUAAAAAAGAAGAAAUACUUCUAAUUUGUGGUCUGAUAUGUAUGUAGCUGAGACAUCAUCACUCCCAUGCUCACCACAAGAGAAAUGCAGAACAACCUGAAAAUAAACAAUUCCUAAAAUUUACAAAGAACUGAUCUCACAGGGCAAACUAUCAUUGUAAUAAUUGGAGAAUUAUUGGAGAAUAAUUGGAGAAUAGGUGAACACAGAAGAGUCAGAGAUUCAGGAGCAGAGGCUUCUGCAGGAGCAGGGAUCUGGGCUGCAACACUUCCACUCUGAAUGAUGAAUUUCUGAAGGCUCAGUGUGCACAAGCUGCAAAGGGCAAAUUUCCAGGGGCCCAGAGGGUGGGGCCUCCACACUUCCAUGGUUUACCUCCAGUACCCCUCCACAUUCUCAAGGUGAAAGUCAAAGAAAAAUCCUUCAAACUUUGGACCAGGGAGAAGAGACUCAACCAUUCCAAAACACACCCAGUGCCCUCUGUUCCCUUUAAGGAAGCCUUCAUUCAAAGAAAGUGUCUCAGCAGAGCACUCACCUUGGGUGCGACAGGAGCAUAAGUGGCCUGGGGAAAGGGAAUGCCCAAAUCUAGUCACUCCAGUUCCCAUGCAGAGGAAGGGACUCAACUCCCUCUUGAAUUCUCUCACCCCAUGGGAAGGAGGAUUCUGAGAAGCACUGUCACUGUCAAAUCCCAAGGACACAGGCUCACUGAAAGACUGAGGUCUCAUCAUAGAACAAUACACCCCCUCCCCUAUACAUUUCUGCUGCAUGAAUAAGGAUUUUAAAAAUCCUGUAUCAAAAGGGGAUUUUACCUGAAGAACUCCAAGUCUCAGAUGUUAUUGAAGAUGUAUCAAAGGAAACCCAAAGCACACAGGAGAGACAAAAUAAAUAACAGCAAAAAUCCUUCAAAUAAACAAACAAACAAACAAACAAACAAAAAACAAAGGAAAUGGUAGCUUAGAUAUCUAUCCUAGCAGCGAACUGAGAACAUAGUUUAACUCCUAGAAUAUAAAAAACUCAACUGAGACCAACUUAUUUGAGUUGGUUUUGCCCAACACCUUAUGUUCAGCUUUUAAUAAAAAAAAUUACAAUGCUUAUUAAAAGUCAAAAGACAACAGUUUGAAGAGACAGAGCAAGCACCAUAAUCAGAUUCAGAUUAUGACAGAGAGUAGGGAGUUAUUAGGCUAUGGAUUUAACAUAUAAUUAAAACCUUAAGGGCUGCAAUGGGAAAGGUGUAAUUAGCCAUGUGAGCAGAGAGAUGAAAAUUCUACUGAAUGUAAAGUAAAUGGUGGGAAUAAACACUAUAUUAGAAACAAAGAAUACUUUAGAUAUGUUCAUGGAUAGCUGGGGACAGGAAUGAAGAAAGGAUCUGUGAGUUGAAGCCAUGCCACUGGAAUCUUUACAAACUAAAGAAGAAAAUAAUGACAGAAGGAAAUGUAAAGGAACAUCCAGGAACUAUAGGACAUUGUAAAAAUUGUAACAUCUGUAUAAGGAAAACAGGAAAGGAAGGA